GACGAACGCUGGCGGCGUGCUUAACACAUGCAAGUCGAGCGGUAAGGCCUCUUCGGGGGUACACGAGCGGCGAACGGGUGAGUAACACGUGGGUGACCUGCCCUCAGCUCUGGGAUAAGCCUGGGAAACUGGGUCUAAUACCGGAUAUGACCUUUCCUCGCAUGGGGGUUGGUGGAAAGUUUUUUCGGCUGGGGAUGGGCCCGCGGCCUAUCAGCUUGUUGGUGGGGUGAUGGCCUACCAAGGCGACGACGGGUAGCCGGCCUGAGAGGGCGACCGGCCACACUGGGACUGAGACACGGCCCAGACUCCUACGGGAGGCAGCAGUGGGGAAUAUUGCGCAAUGGGCGGAAGCCUGACGCAGCGACGCCGCGUGGGGGAUGACGGCCUUCGGGUUGUAAACCUCUUUCGACCCCGACGAAUUUGGACGGUAGGGGUAGAAGAAGCACCGGCCAACUACGUG
RNAcentral lists this ribosomal RNA (460 nucleotides) under uncultured bacterium. Its description in RNAcentral is "partial 16S ribosomal RNA". It matches the Rfam family "Bacterial small subunit ribosomal RNA", at positions 28 to 507 of the family's 1533-position model. The record is from RNAcentral.